Gracilinanus agilis (Agile Gracile Mouse Opossum) is the source of this 950-nucleotide long non-coding RNA. RefSeq lists it as uncharacterized. The record is from RefSeq and is a predicted model, not a curated record. Lineage: Eukaryota; Metazoa; Chordata; Mammalia; Didelphimorphia; Didelphidae. The transcript has 3 exons.
UUUGCCCAAUAGCACUCCUAAACUAAUAUUGCAGGGGGAGAUGGGGAGGAAAGAUUUGUGGACACACCGAACAACUGGGGUAGGUAGGAACAAUCCAAUCUAUUGCAUAUUGUUGGACUAAAUUAGGCCGGCGCCGAGAUCCCAAGAAAGCUCGGGCGUUUACUACGAAGAGAAGCGAAAGUUUUCUUUCAAGGCUUAUUGAUAUCUGACCCUGAUUCCGCUUGUGACUUCGUGCCCCGGCCACUCCGACCUUCCAGGGCGCUUCUCAGUCUAGCAUUCGCCAAGACUCGCUCCAGCGGCUACUGAUUUACAAGACGAAAUUAUUUUCCUACGUACGGAAUGUAUGCACGUCCAGGGUCCCUCCAUAUUUAGAUGACAACCAUUUUGUCCAUGAUGCAUCUCUCAGACAGCUUGAAUUUGCCCUUUGGGCUAGAAGGCUGCUUGAUAGAGAGAAUGAAGAGUUCCCAAAGGAACAGAAGCAAGACUUCAUUGGGUGGGGAAAAAAAAAAAGGAACUCUAAGGUACAUAUGGAAACACUCAAGAUGGCCCUCCUCAAGAUGUUGGAGAAUGAGAGAGAAAGGAGAAAAAAAAAAAGAGGCAACUGUGCAAUAAAAGAUUGGAUUGGAAAUCGCCUUAGUUCCAAAGAAUUUGCUGGUUUGGGAAUAACAAAGCAAUCCUUCAGUUGGACUCUGAUCAGGAAGAGCCACCGACUCAGUGGAUCCUUCAAAGGGCAUCAUCCUUUUUACUCUUCCCAUUUACUGUGAGUGGUAGGAGACUUCAAGAUUCUCUGGAGGGGUGAGUACAGGACUUCUUGGGCAGAAACGGCAAGCUGUGAGCCCAUGGCAGCUAAAUAGCACAGGCUUGGGUUUAGGAGAAAGGAAUACAUGUUUGUUAAGUGCCUAAUAUGUGCCAAGGGGGAGGUAGGUGGUACAGUGGAUAGAGCAAGGAAC